GAAAGACGGGGUACUGGUUGAAGAUAAAUGAGGAGAAGAGAUUGUAUUAUUGUAGUCAGCUCCAACUCCAUCAGAAUCGUUGAGGAGAAAAUGGAUGUGAAAAGAUCUACCGAAGAGAUUGCGAGACCAAGUGAGAGCAAAGAGGCCGAGGUGGGUUUGGUAAAGGGAGGUGGCGAGGUUGGGAUUAGCAGCAAGCGGUGGCUGCGGCAGCGGUGGCGGUAGAGGACGAGCGGAGGCGGCGGCAGCUACCUCUAAAGGGCGGCGGAAACAAGAAGGGAAAGGUGAAUAAUAAUGGUGGUGUUUUUUGGACUUAGCAACAAUUUCCAUGAUUGAAAGAAAUAAUAAGAAAAAAAAAAGGAAAAAGCUGAUAUAUUGAGGUAUAAGAGAUUGAAAGAAGAGAGAAAGGAGAUGAGGGAUAUAUAUGAGAAAGAGGUAAUACCAAUGGCAGAAGGGGUGGGGUGCGGGGGGGGGGGGGGGGGGGCAGAAUACAGAUAUAUGUUGAAAAUAGAAAAUGAAGUGUAUACUUUUGGGGGUUUAGGGAAGUCGUAGUCUAUAAGGAGCAGCUGGGGUUUUGGGGGGGUUGG
RNAcentral lists this long non-coding RNA (584 nucleotides) under Nicotiana tabacum (common tobacco). Its description in RNAcentral is "long non-coding RNA (NTAB_LNC011651)". Lineage: Eukaryota; Viridiplantae; Streptophyta; Magnoliopsida; Solanales; Solanaceae. The record is from RNAcentral.